This 301-nucleotide ribosomal RNA is filed under the name uncultured bacterium. Its description in RNAcentral is "partial 16S ribosomal RNA". It matches the Rfam family "Bacterial small subunit ribosomal RNA", at positions 509 to 807 of the family's 1533-position model. The record is from RNAcentral.
CAGCCGCCACGGUAAUACGUAGGGUCCGAGCGUUGUCCGGAAUUACUGGGCGUAAAGAGCUCGUAGGUGGUUUGUCGCGUUGUUCGUGAAAACUCACAGCUUAACUGUGGGCGUGCGGGCGAUACGGGCAGACUAGAGUACUGCAGGGGAGACUGGAAUUCCUGGUGUAGCGGUGGAAUGCGCAGAUAUCAGGAGGAACACCGGUGGCGAAGGCGGGUCUCUGGGCAGUAACUGACGCUGAGGAGCGAAAGCGUGGGGAGCGAACAGGAUUAGAUACCCCAGUAGUCCCUGUCUCUUAUAC